UGGGUUGGUUUGUACUGUGAGAGUGGGA
This 28-nucleotide non-coding RNA is filed under the name Homo sapiens (human). The record is from RNAcentral. Lineage: Eukaryota; Metazoa; Chordata; Mammalia; Primates; Hominidae.